UACAAUGAUUAAAUAAUGUUA
This 21-nucleotide non-coding RNA is filed under the name Caenorhabditis elegans. Lineage: Eukaryota; Metazoa; Nematoda; Chromadorea; Rhabditida; Rhabditidae. The record is from RNAcentral.